RNAcentral lists this ribosomal RNA (253 nucleotides) under uncultured bacterium. RNAcentral's name for it is "partial 16S ribosomal RNA". It matches the Rfam family "Bacterial small subunit ribosomal RNA", at positions 524 to 776 of the family's 1533-position model. The record is from RNAcentral.
UACAGAGGGGGCAAGCGUUAUUCGGAAUUAUUGGGCGUAAAAGGCGCGUAGGCGGCUUUGCAAGUGACGGGUGAAAGCCCUCGGCUUAACCGAGGAACUGCCUGUCAGACUGUGAGGCUUGAGACCGGGAGAGGUGAGUGGAAUUCCCAGUGUAGCGGUGAAAUGCGUAGAUAUUGGGAGGAACACCAGUGGCGAAGGCGGCUCACUGGACCGGGACUGACGCUGAGGCGCGAAAGCGUGGGGAGCAAACAGG